GGAAUAAGCUGUUCUACCGCCGCGGCCUUGUGCCGGGGAGGAAAGUCCGGGCAGCGCAGAGUGCCGUACUUCCUAACGGGAAGGCAGCAGGACAGAGAUGACCGGCUGACAGCAAGUGCCACAGAAAAUUAAACCGCCUGGCAUGUUUUUUAUGUGUGAGGUAAGGGUGAAAAGGUGGAGUAAGAGACCACCGCCUGUUUGGGUAACCAACGGGGCACGGUAAACCUUACGGGCUGAAAGAUCAAAUAGGUGUUAGUUUGCGGGGCUACUCGUCUCCGUUCUGAAAAAGAGCAUUAACACGGGUAGAUCGUUAGAGGUUUCGGGCGACCGGAAUCCUGGAUAAAUGGUAGAAGUCCUGUAUCGAUGCAAAUCGGUUUGGGAGACAGAAUCCGGCUUACAGGCUUAUUUUUUUU
RNAcentral lists this RNase P RNA (413 nucleotides) under Dyadobacter psychrotolerans. RNAcentral describes it as "Bacterial RNase P class A". It matches the Rfam family "Bacterial RNase P class A". Rfam says of the family: Ribonuclease P (RNase P) is a ubiquitous endoribonuclease, found in archaea, bacteria and eukarya as well as chloroplasts and mitochondria. Its best characterised activity is the generation of mature 5'-ends of tRNAs by cleaving the 5'-leader elements of precursor-tRNAs. Cellular RNase Ps are ribonucleoproteins. The record is from Rfam by way of RNAcentral. Lineage: Bacteria; Pseudomonadati; Bacteroidota; Cytophagia; Cytophagales; Spirosomataceae.